Molecule: regulatory RNA element, 181 nt
Rfam family: rncO
About the family: This family represents a bacterial regulatory element (rncO) found in the rnc leader sequence. The rnc operon is negatively auto-regulated by transcript stability. rnc, the first gene in the operon codes for RNase III which cleaves the long rncO stem II leading to transcript degradation and a reduction in translation.
Source: Rfam
GAGCGAAAAAGUGGGUUCCUUGUCGGGAGUCACUAUAAACGAAAGGGCUUUGGAUUGGCUUUUGGCAAAGCAGUCGUGUUCUCUAUGCUGCAAGUUUCUGACGCAUUCUUGAUCUAUUGGUAACGCAUGAACCCCAUUGUAAGAAACAGGCUCCAGCGGAAGCUAGGCUACACUUUUCAAC